CAGCCCUAAAGGCACCACAGACCCACAGAGAGAAAUUAUAAUUCUGUGCUCUUUUGUCUUAAGCUUUUUCUCUCUCCUUUUUCUUGCUGACUUGUUCUCAUCAGGAAGACUUUUUUCCCCACAGUUCUGAAAGGUGAUCUUUCUUCAUACAGGAAGAGCAAAGGGUCAAAUCCUUGUCUUGUUGUUCUUUUCCCCUCUGUAUGUUGGAUGUGUUUGCUGGCUCCUAUUCCGGAGUUCUGAUUGGCAUCAAAGCUGGCAGUGACAAUUGUCUCUACUGAUCCCUAGACUUCAUUAAAUUAGGUCAUCUUCCAGCUCUGGGCUGGUGCAGAAGAUGGGGGAGAGGUGCAGCAGGCUGGUGGGACUGGAGACCCUGCAGACACCUAAGUAGAAGUGAACUGGAUGAAUAGCAUCAGAUGUGGACUGGGAAUCUGCCACCCCAACCAACCUGCUCUUGACUGCUUGUACUGCUGGAGCAUCUUCAGAGCCCAGCCAAGACUGGAACUGUGGACUGGGCAGGUGAUGGAAAGGCAGCAGGGCUGGGAAGAGCCAGCUGCAGAGGAUGCUUUCCUGACAUGGUGGUUUGUUUGA
Numida meleagris (helmeted guineafowl) is the source of this 588-nucleotide long non-coding RNA. NCBI's taxonomy places the organism in Eukaryota, Metazoa, Chordata, Aves, Galliformes, Numididae. The record is from Ensembl.